Molecule: long non-coding RNA, 523 nt
Organism: Triticum aestivum (bread wheat)
Lineage: Eukaryota; Viridiplantae; Streptophyta; Magnoliopsida; Poales; Poaceae
Exons: 4
Source: RefSeq, a predicted model, not a curated record
CAAGGCGCAGCAGUGGAGGAGGAGCACCGGAGCAAGAUUACGACCUGCGUACGACCUCGUCAGCUCGGACUGGAUGGAGGACAUGGCUCGAGCAUGCCAUUGCAGAUAUAUUGCCGUUGAACUAGCUUCUAUCUGGAAUGGGACAAAUCUGAAGUAGAUUUUGCUAUAGAAAACAAAAUCUCUAAGGUGGGAUCGGGAUAGCGCUAGAGAAAUGAUGUACAUGGUGGCUGAGAGGGAGGGGUCAAAAGAAUACAUCCACAUUUCUAACUACGUGGUGCACACAUAAUAGUAUGAGGGAAUGGCAUGUGUCAUCUAUAACACGUGCGCGCUCUUUGUUCGAACGUUCAACUGGGAGCAAUUUCAUCUGAUUUGGCAACGAGCAUUGCAGCAAUACAUGCUACGUCUUAGAAACUACUAAAAAAUGAAUAUAUCUGUGCAUUCUACCCUGCCUAGAGUUUUGCUUAUUUUGGCCCUUCCGUCCAUUGAAUUCAGAAAGACUUUCAAAACUCGACCAGUUUCAGAA